AAUUAAUUUUGUUUUUUAUUUAUUAUUGUUAUUUAUUAAGUAUUAUUAAGAAUUUUUUUUUAAAAAAAACUGUUUAGGAUUUAUAAAUUAAUUCUAUUGAAAAAUUUUAUAGUACCUUUUGUAUCAGGGUAAAUUAAUUUUUUUAACUAUUUAUUUUUCCCGAAUUGAAUUGUUUAAUUAAUUUUUUAUUUUAUUUGUUGAAAAAAAUAUAUAAAUUUUUUUUUUGUAAAGAUAUUCUAGUCGAUUUUCAUUAUAUCUGGUUAUUUAAAAUUAAAUUUAAUUUUUUAUUAAUUUUUUAAUGAUAUUUAAUAAGGGAUAAUCUUUAUUUUUAUAUAUAAUUUUUAUUUAAAAAAUUUUUAUUAUUUUUUGAAUUUUUAUUUUAGUUAUUAAUAUAUUUUAUUUUUUUUAUAAUAAUUUAGUUUAAUUUAUUUUUAUAUUAAAUUUAUUUAUUUAUCUUUUUUAUAUUUUUAAUUUUGAUUUUAUAAGUAAAAUUUUAUAAUUAAAUUUAAUGAACUCGACAAUAAUAAUUUUCAACUGUUUAUCAAAAACAUUUUUUUUAGUUUAUAUUGAAAAUAAAAUCUGCCCUAUGAAAUAUAUUAAAUGGCUGCAGUAUUUUAACUGUACAAAGGUAGCAUAAUAAUUAGUCUUUUAAUUUAGGACUGGAAUGAAGGAUUUAAUGAGAAAUUAAUUUUAUUAGUUUAAUUUUUUUAAUUUUAUUUUUAGGUAAAAAAGCUUAAUUAAUUUUUUGGGACGAAAAGACCCUAUAGAACUUUAUUUAAUUUAAUAAAAUUAUUUUAAUUAAUAUUUCUUUUUUUAAAUUAAUUUUUAUUGGGGUGAUUGAUAAAUUAAACUUUAUUUUAUUUUUACAUUAAUAUAUGUUUAUCAAGAUUUAGUUUAUAAUUAUAAGAUUAAGUUACCUUAGGGAUAACAGCGUAAUUUUUAUGGGGAGUUCAUAUCUAUAUAUAAGUUUGCGACCUCGAUGUUGAAUUAAGAAAAUAUUAUAGGGAAACAUUUAUUUUUAUAAGUCUGUUCGACUUUUAAAUUCUUACAUGAUUUGAGUUCAAACCGGUGUAAGCCAGGUUGGUUUCUAUCUAAAAAUUUAUUUUUUAAUUUAGUACGAAAGGACCAAUUAAUUUAUUAUAAAUUUAUUUUUU
Molecule: ribosomal RNA, 1154 nt
Filed under: Parathailocyba orla
Lineage: Eukaryota; Metazoa; Arthropoda; Insecta; Hemiptera; Cicadellidae
Description: 16S ribosomal RNA
Source: RNAcentral